Molecule: transfer RNA, 84 nt
Filed under: Gemmatimonas sp.
Lineage: Bacteria; Pseudomonadati; Gemmatimonadota; Gemmatimonadia; Gemmatimonadales; Gemmatimonadaceae
Also listed under: 1 other name
Description: tRNA-Leu
Rfam family: tRNA
About the family: Transfer RNA (tRNA) molecules are approximately 80 nucleotides in length. Their secondary structure includes four short double-helical elements and three loops (D, anti-codon, and T loops). Further hydrogen bonds mediate the characteristic L-shaped molecular structure. tRNAs have two regions of fundamental functional importance: the anti-codon, which is responsible for specific mRNA codon recognition, and the 3' end, to which the tRNAs corresponding amino acid is attached (by aminoacyl-tRNA synthetases). tRNAs cope with the degeneracy of the genetic code in two manners: having more than one tRNA (with a specific anti-codon) for a particular amino acid; and 'wobble' base-pairing, i.e. permitting non-standard base-pairing at the 3rd anti-codon position.
Source: RNAcentral
GCCCAGAUGGCGGAAUUGGCAGACGCAGAGGACUCAAAAUCCUCCGACCGCAAGGUCUUGUGGGUUCGACCCCCACUCUGGGCA